GGUAAAGCGUAAAAGAGCGUAGAGUGAAUGCCUUGGCAUUGGGAGCCGAUGAAGGACGUGGUUAACUGCGAAAAGCUACGGGGAGUCGUAAGCAGACAUUGAUCCGUAGAUGUCCGAAUGGAGCAAUCCGCAUGGAGUUAGUCCAUGCAUCCAUAAGUGAAUUCAUAGCUUAUGGAGGGGAACUGCCUGAACUGAAACAUCUAAGUAGGGCGAGGAAGAGAAAUCAAACGAGAUUUCGUAAGUAGUGGCGAGCG
RNAcentral lists this non-coding RNA (254 nucleotides) under Ruminococcus sp. CAG:254. RNAcentral describes it as "Bacterial large subunit ribosomal RNA". It matches the Rfam family "Bacterial large subunit ribosomal RNA", at positions 1 to 255 of the family's 2925-position model. The record is from Rfam by way of RNAcentral. Lineage: Bacteria; Bacillati; Bacillota; Clostridia; Eubacteriales; Oscillospiraceae.